CCUACGGGAGGCAGCAGUGAGGAAUAUUGGUCAAUGGGCGCGAGCCUGAACCAGCCAAGCCGCGUGAAGGAUGACUGCCCUACGUGUUGUAAACUUCUUUUAUAAGAGAAUAAAACGAGGCACGUGUGCCUUUUUGCAUGUACUUUAUGAAUAAGGAUCGGCUAACUCCGUGCCAGCAGCCGCGGUAAUACGGAGGAUCCGAGCGUUAUCCGGAUUUAUUGGGUUUAAAGGGAGCGUAGAUGGGUUGUUAAGUCAGUUGUGAAAGUUUGCGGCUCAACCGUAAAAUUGCAAGUGAUACUGGCAGUCGUGAGUACAGUUGAGGUAGGCGGAAUUCGUGGUGUAGCGGUGAAAUGCUUAGAUAUCACGAAGAACUCCGAUUGCGAAGGCAGCUUACUAAACUGCCACUGACAUUGAUGCUCGAAAGUGUGGGUAGCAAACAGGAUUAGAUACCCGAGUAGUC
Molecule: ribosomal RNA, 460 nt
Filed under: uncultured bacterium
Lineage: Bacteria
Description: partial 16S ribosomal RNA
Rfam family: Bacterial small subunit ribosomal RNA
Source: RNAcentral